GCCGCCUCUGACCCACGUGACCACAGAGCUAGCUCCGUGGAAAGGCCUCAGUACAGCCUCGGUCUCUCCUGGAAACUGUGUCGGGAUUUUGAGUCUCUGUGCUUGUGAAUUCUGUUUUGGAUAAUAUUGGUGCAAUUGUUGGACAAAAUGACUUGCUGUGGUAUUAAUUGCACUAAUAGAGCGUCCAAGGAGUCUCCACUUCAUUUUUUUCGGGAAGGACCUGAUUGGUGUCCAGAACCUGCUGAAGAAGCACCAGGCUCUGCAGGCUGAGAUCACAGGUCAUGAACCUCGCAUCAAGGCUGUCACCCAGAAAGGAGAGACCAUAAUGGAGGAAGCAACAAGUGGCUCCAACUGACGAUGAGACCGGGAAGGAGCUGGUUCUGGCUCUGUACGACUACCAGGAGAAGAGUCCUGGAGAGGUCACCAUGAAGAAGGGCGACAUCCUCACGCUGCUCAACAGCACCAACAAGCUGAAUGAGGAUGGAGAGACGGGUCG
This is a non-coding RNA of Nothobranchius furzeri (turquoise killifish), 496 nucleotides long. Lineage: Eukaryota; Metazoa; Chordata; Actinopteri; Cyprinodontiformes; Nothobranchiidae. The record is from RefSeq and is a predicted model, not a curated record.